This 66-nucleotide transfer RNA is filed under the name Paragnetina indentata. Its description in RNAcentral is "tRNA-Leu". The record is from RNAcentral. Lineage: Eukaryota; Metazoa; Arthropoda; Insecta; Plecoptera; Perlidae.
UCUAUUUUGGCAGAAAAGUGCAAUGGAUUUAGAAUUCAAGUAUGUAAAGUUGAUUUACAAAUAGAA